RNAcentral lists this ribosomal RNA (253 nucleotides) under uncultured bacterium. RNAcentral's name for it is "partial 16S ribosomal RNA". It matches the Rfam family "Bacterial small subunit ribosomal RNA", at positions 524 to 776 of the family's 1533-position model. The record is from RNAcentral.
UACGGGGGGGGCAAGCGUUGUUCGGAAUUACUGGGCGUAAAGGGCUCGUAGGCGGCCAACUAAGUCCGACGUGAAAUCCCAAGGCUUAACCUUGGAACUGCGUCGGAUACUGGAUGGCUUGAAUUCGGGAGAGGGAUGCAGAAUUCCAGGUGUAGCGGUGAAAUGCGUAGAUAUCAGGAAGAACACCAAUGGCGAAGGCAGCUCUCUGGGACGGUACUGACGCUGAGACGCGAAAGCGUGGGGAGCGAACAGG